UCUCUAUCAGAGCACAGCUGCUUCACCCCUAAGUAUACGCCUAGAGGCCACAUGAAACAUACUCCCUGUCUGCUCACAGUAUGUGUUCUCCAGGAGCAAAGCUUUGUUGCUCUGAGAGCUAUUUUUGACUUUAAAGACCGAACAGGAGAUGCAUUGUGAGACAAGCAGGUUGGUAAAGUAUAUCGUGUAUAUCGAUGGCAUCCUGGUCUACUCGGCUGCCUUGGAGGAUCACAUCGCUCAAGUCCGAGUUGUCCUGGAACGCUUCCUGGCUAACCACCUGUUUGUCAAGGCUGAGAAGUGCCAGUCAUCAGGAGGCCGUCUCCUUCCUAGGCUACCAAAUCAGCAUACAAGGAGUGAAGAUGGAUGUCAAGAAGAGAGGAAUGAUGAUGUCGGUGAUCAAGAGCUCCUGGCUGUGAAGUUGGCUCCAAGGACCCAUUCAUCAUCCUCACUGACCAUCGGAAUCUGGAGUACUUACGGACAGCGAAGAGGCUGAAUCCGCGCCAAGCAAGAUGUGGAUAUCCGCCAGGCUCUGGAGAGGGAGCCCACACCCACUACCUGUCCUGAGUGCAUCUACGUUCUCACGGGGAUCGGCUGCUGACCUGGGAGCACACAGCUGUCGUCGUUGGACAUCCAGGUCGCUGAGUCAUUAUGGCCUUCCGGAGGACAUCAUCUCCAACCGUGGGCCCAAAUUCACAUCACGGGCAUGGAGAGCCUUUAUGGAGAAGCUCAUGGUCACGGUCAGCUUCACUUCCGGGUAUAGGCCUCAGUCCAACAGGCAGGUGUAGAGGAGGAACCAGGAGCUGGGGAGGUUCCUGAGGAGUCACUGCCAGGACCGGCAGGGAGAAUGUCAUGUCUACUCCCGCUCCUCCCCUCCAGCGUUCGAGCUCGCCGGUUUACUAACCACCAGUCCUGGGAAGCAUCAUCCCGCGCACGUGCACUUCAUCAUUACGCACACCUGGACUCCAUUUCCUCCCCUUUAUCUGACACUCCCUUAGUUUCUUUCCCCAGGCAGUAUUGUUUUCUGUUGUUCAUAUCUAGAUGCUACUCCUAUGUUGUAUCAUUACAUGUUUCUUGUUAUAUUAAUCUUACUACCUGCUUCUUGACUCCCAGAGUCUACAUUACAGUAGAUUAAAAUCAAAACUGUAAUCUGGCCACUCAGGAAUUCACUGUAAAUAACUCCAGUACAGAUUUGGCUUUGUGUUUUAGGUUAUUGCCCUGCUGAAAGGAGAAUUCAUCUCCCAGUAUCUAGUGGUAAGCAGACAACUAGAUUUUGCCUGUGCUUAGCUCCAUUCCGUAAUUUUUUUAAAUCCUGAAAUACUCCCCAGUACUUAACGAUUACAAGCAUACCCAUAACAUGAUGCAGCCACCACUGUGCUUGAAAACAUAGAGUGUGGUACUCAGUAAUGGAUUUGCCUCAAAAAUAACACUUUGUCUUCAGGACAAAAAGUGAAUUCCUUUGCCACAUUUUUGCAGUAUUAGUGCUUUGUUGCAAACAGGAUGCAUGUUUUGGAAUAUGUUUUAUUAUGUACAGGCUUCCUUCUUUUAACUCUGCAGUUACUCCACAAUACUAACAUAAUUGACAAUGUUGCUGUCAGUUUUCUCCUACCACAGCCAUUAAACUCUGUAACUGUCUCACCGGUUACUAGGAGUGGUGGGUAGGAGUCAGGUGCAGAGAGCAGAGGAUUCAGUGAUUAGUAAUAUUUAUGUGCAAGAAUAGUGUUUAACAUGAUUUUUUUAUGACUACCUCAUCUCUCAUCUCAAAUAAUGCGCGGGGUAAAAAAAUAAAUAAUCUUAAACACUAUUCUUGCACAUAGAGUGAGUCCAUACAACUUAUUAUGUGACAUGUUAAGCACAUUUUUACUCCUGAAUUUACAAGAUAUUUUAGCUUUUCAUUUUUUCUUAAUUUGUAAAAAUGUCUAAAACCAUAAUACCAAAUUGACAUUAUGGGGUAUUGUGUGUAGGCCAGUGACCAAAAAUCUCAGUUUAAUUCAUUUUAAAUUUAGGCUGUAACACAACACAAUGUGUGAAUACUUCCUGAAAGCACUCUAUACCACUACCUAUUCCAGUAUGUAUACCAGCAUCUACAAUAUACCACUACCUGUACCAUGAUCUACACCAGCAUCUAUACCAGCAUCUACAGUAUAUCACUAUCUAUACCACUAUCUAUACCAACAUCUACAGUAUACCACUAUCUAUACCAGCAUCUAUAUCGGCAUCUACAGUAUAUUACUAUCUAUACCACUAUCUAUAAAAGCAUCUACAGUAUAUUACUAUCUAUACCACUAUCUAGAGCUCUAUCUAUAAAGGCAUCUACAGUAUAUCAGUAUCUAUACCACUAUCUAUAUCACUAUCUAUACCUCCAUCUACAGUAUAUUACUAUCUACACAACCAUCUAUACCUCAAUCUAC
Molecule: long non-coding RNA, 2408 nt
Organism: Oncorhynchus tshawytscha (Chinook salmon)
Lineage: Eukaryota; Metazoa; Chordata; Actinopteri; Salmoniformes; Salmonidae
Source: Ensembl